GGCCUACGGGAGGCAGCAGUGGGGAAUAUUGCACAAUGGGGGAAACCCUGAUGCAGCAACGCCGCGUGAGCGAAGAAGGCCUUCGGGUCGUAAAGCUCUGUCCUAUGGGAAGAAGCAGUGACGGUACCAUAGGAGGAAGCACCGGCUAACUCCGUGCCAGCAGCCGCGGUAAUA
Molecule: ribosomal RNA, 174 nt
Filed under: uncultured low G+C Gram-positive bacterium
Lineage: Bacteria; Bacillati; Bacillota
Description: partial 16S ribosomal RNA
Rfam family: Bacterial small subunit ribosomal RNA
Source: RNAcentral